UACGUAGGUGGCAAGCGUUGUUCGGAAUUAUUGGGCGUAAAGGGCGCGUAGGCGGUUCGUUAAGUCAGUUGUGAAAGCCCGGAGCUCAACUCCGGAGAGUCGACUGAUACUGGCGAGCUAGAGUACGGAAGAGGUAGCUGGAAUUCCCGGUGUAGCAGUGAAAUGCGUAGAUAUCGUGAGGAAGACCAGUGGCGAAGGCGGGUCUCUGGACAGUUCCUGACGCUGAGGCGCGAAGGCCAGGGGAGCAAACGGG
Molecule: ribosomal RNA, 253 nt
Filed under: uncultured prokaryote
Description: partial 16S ribosomal RNA
Rfam family: Bacterial small subunit ribosomal RNA
Source: RNAcentral